UCCUACGGGAGGCAGCAGUAGGGAAUCUUCCGCAAUGGACGAAAGUCUGACGGAGCAACGCCGCGUGAGUGAUGAAGGCUUUCGGGUCGUAAAACUCUGUUGUUAGGAAAGAACAAGUGCUAGUUGAAUAAGCUGGCACCUUGACGGUACCUAACCAGAAAGCCACGGCUAACUACGUGCCAGCAGCCGCGGUAAUACGUAGGUGGCAAGCGUUAUCCGGAAUUACUGGGCGUAAAGGGCGCGCAGGCGGACCGAUAAGUCGUCUGUGAAAUCUGCCGGCUCAACCAGCAGCCUGCAGUCGAAACUAUCGGUCUUGAGUAUGGGAGAGGUGAGCGGAAUCUCUGGUGUAGCGGUGAAAUGCGUAGAUAUCAGAGAGAACACCGGUGGCGAAGGCGGCUCACUGGCCUAAUACUGACGCUGAGGCGCGAAAGCUAGGGGAGCGAACGGGAUUAGAUACCCCGGUAGUCCUAGCCGUAAACGAUGGGUACUAGGUGUUGGAGGUAUUGACCCCUUCAGUGCCGAAGCAAACGCAUUAAGUACCCCGCCUGGGGAGUACGGCCGCAAGGCUGAAACUCAAAGGAA
Molecule: ribosomal RNA, 582 nt
Filed under: uncultured bacterium
Lineage: Bacteria
Description: bacterial SSU rRNA
Rfam family: Bacterial small subunit ribosomal RNA
Source: RNAcentral